GACGAACGCUGGCGGCGUGCUUAACACAUGCAAGUCGAACGGAAAGGCCCUGCUUUUGCGGGGUGCUCGAGUGGCGAACGGGUGAGUAACACGUGAGUAACCUGUCCUUGACUUUGGGAUAACUUCAGGAAACUGGGGCUCAUACCGGAUAGGAGCUCCUGCUGCAUGGUGGGGGUUGGAAAGUUUCGGCGGUUGGGGAUGGGCUCGCGGCUUAUCAGCUUGUUGGUCGAGUAGUGGCUUACCAAGGUUUUGACGGGUAGCCGGCCUGUGAGGGGGGCCGGCGACCUUAGGACUGAGAGACGGCGCAGAAGGCUACGGGACGCAGCAGGCGGGAGUAUUGCACAAUGGGGGGAAGCCAGAUGCAGCAACGCCGCGUGCGGGAUACCGGCUUUCGGGUUAUAAACAGCUUUCGCCUGUGACAAAGCGUGAGUGACGGUAAUGGAUAAAGAAGCACCGGCUAACUACGUG
Molecule: ribosomal RNA, 468 nt
Filed under: uncultured bacterium
Lineage: Bacteria
Description: partial 16S ribosomal RNA
Rfam family: Bacterial small subunit ribosomal RNA
Source: RNAcentral